Molecule: ribosomal RNA, 496 nt
Filed under: uncultured bacterium
Lineage: Bacteria
Description: partial 16S ribosomal RNA
Rfam family: Bacterial small subunit ribosomal RNA
Source: RNAcentral
AUGAACGCUGGCGGCGUGCCUAAUACAUGCCAGUCGAGCGAACAGACGAGGAGCUUGCUCCUCUGACGUUAGCGGCGGACGGGUGAGUAACACGUGGAUAACCUGCCUAUAAGACUGGGAUAACUUCGGGAAACCGGAGCUAAUACCGGAUAAUAUAUUGAACCGCAUGGUUCAAUAGUGAAAGACGGUUUUGCUGUCACUUAUAGAUGGAUCCGCGCCGCAUUAGCUAGUUGGUAAGGUAACGGCUUACCAAGGCAACGAUGCGUAGCCGACCUGAGAGGGUGAUCGGCCACACUGGAACUGAGACACGGUCCAGACUCCUACGGGAGGCAGCAGUAGGGAAUCUUCCGCAAUGGGCGAAAGCCUGACGGAGCAACGCCGCGUGAGUGAUGAAGGUCUUCGGAUCGUAAAACUCUGUUAUUAGGGAAGAACAAAUGUGUAAGUAACUAUGCACGUCUUGACGGUACCUAAUCAGAAAGCCACGGCUAACUACGUG